GACAGAGGGUGCAAACGUUGCUCGGAAUCACUGGGCGUAAAGGGCGCGUAGGCGGCCAGCACAAGUCAGUUGUGAAAUCUCCGAGCUUAACUCGGAAAGGUCAACUGAUACUGUGCGGCUAGAGUGCAGAAGGGGCAACUGGAAUUCUUGGUGUAGCGGUGAAAUGCGUAGAUAUCAAGAGGAACACCUGCGGCGAAGGCGGGUUGCUGGGCUGACACUGACGCUGAGGCGCGAAAGCUAGGGGAGCGAACGGG
Molecule: ribosomal RNA, 254 nt
Filed under: uncultured bacterium
Lineage: Bacteria
Description: partial 16S ribosomal RNA
Rfam family: Bacterial small subunit ribosomal RNA
Source: RNAcentral